CGUGUAGGCGGGCGAUCAAGUCAGAUGUAAAAGGCGACGGCUUAACCGUAGUAUGUCAUCUGAUACUGGUUGUCUUGAGUUCGAGAGAGGGUGGUGGAAUUCCCGGUGUAGCGGUGAAAUGCGUAGAUAUCGGGAAGAACACCUGAAGCGAAGGCGGCCACCUGGCUCGACACUGACGCUGAGGCGCGAAAGCGUGGGGAGCAAACA
Molecule: ribosomal RNA, 207 nt
Filed under: uncultured bacterium
Lineage: Bacteria
Description: partial 16S ribosomal RNA
Rfam family: Bacterial small subunit ribosomal RNA
Source: RNAcentral